CCGACCUUAGCUCAGUUGGUAGAGCGGAGGAUUGUAGAUCCUUAGGUCGCUGUUCGAAUCCGGUAGGUUGGA
This 72-nucleotide transfer RNA is filed under the name Zingiber officinale. RNAcentral describes it as "tRNA-Tyr". It matches the Rfam family "tRNA". From Rfam's summary of the family: Transfer RNA (tRNA) molecules are approximately 80 nucleotides in length. Their secondary structure includes four short double-helical elements and three loops (D, anti-codon, and T loops). Further hydrogen bonds mediate the characteristic L-shaped molecular structure. tRNAs have two regions of fundamental functional importance: the anti-codon, which is responsible for specific mRNA codon recognition, and the 3' end, to which the tRNAs corresponding amino acid is attached (by aminoacyl-tRNA synthetases). tRNAs cope with the degeneracy of the genetic code in two manners: having more than one tRNA (with a specific anti-codon) for a particular amino acid; and 'wobble' base-pairing, i.e. permitting non-standard base-pairing at the 3rd anti-codon position. The record is from RNAcentral. Lineage: Eukaryota; Viridiplantae; Streptophyta; Magnoliopsida; Zingiberales; Zingiberaceae.